This 476-nucleotide ribosomal RNA is filed under the name uncultured bacterium. RNAcentral describes it as "bacterial SSU rRNA". It matches the Rfam family "Bacterial small subunit ribosomal RNA", at positions 28 to 526 of the family's 1533-position model. The record is from RNAcentral.
GAUGAACGCUGGCGGCGUGCCUAAUACAUGCAAGUCGAACUUGAUUUUCGGAUUGAGUGGCGAACGGGUGAGUAAGACAUAGGUAACCUGGCUUAUAGAGGGGGAUAACCACUGGAAACGGUGGAUAAUACCGCAUGAAUAUAUCGAAGGCAUCUUGGAUAUAUAAAAGGAGCUAAGGCUUCGCUAUAAGAUGGGCUUAUGACGCAUUAGAUAGUUGGUGAGGUAACGGCUCACCAAGUCAACGAUCGGUAGCCGGACUGAGAGGUUGAACGGCCACAUUGGGACUGAGACACGGCCCAGACUCCUACGGGGGGCAGAAGUGGGGGAUAUUGCACAAUGGGGGAAACCCUGAUGCAGCGACGCCGCGUGAGGGAAGAAGGUUUUCGGAUUGUAAACCUCUGUCUUUGGGGAAGAGUAGAAGACGGUACCCAAGGAGGAAGCCACGGCUAACUACGUGCCAGCAGCCGCCGUAAGAC